This 461-nucleotide ribosomal RNA is filed under the name uncultured bacterium. RNAcentral describes it as "partial 16S ribosomal RNA". It matches the Rfam family "Bacterial small subunit ribosomal RNA", at positions 399 to 859 of the family's 1533-position model. The record is from RNAcentral.
GCGUGCRGAUGAAGCUUCGGGUUGUAAACUGCUUUGUACGGAMGAAAGGUCUGUUUAAUACAGUGGGCUAAUGACGGUACCGUAAGAAUAAGCACCGGCUAACUACGUGCCAGCAGCCGCGGUAAUACGUAGGGUGCGAGCGUUAAUCGGAAUUACUGGGCGUAAAGCGUGCGCAAGCGGUUWUAUAAGACAGAUGUGAAAUCCCGGGGCUCAACCUGGGAACUGCAUUWGAGACUKGUAUAGCUAGCAGUACGGUAGAGGGGGAUGGAAUUCCGCGUGUAGCAGUGAAAUGCGUAGAUAUGCGGAGGAACACCGRUGGCGAAGGCAAUCCCCUGGACCUGUACUGACGCUCAUGCACGAAAGCGUGGGGAGCAVVSVSGAUUAGAUACCCUGGUAGUCCACGCCCUAAACGAUGUCAACUGGUUGUUGGGVGKHABYGACUCAGUAACGAASSUAACGCG